AGUGAACGCUGGCGGCAGGCCUAACACAUGCAAGUCGAACGGCAGCACAGUAAGAUCUUGCUCUUACCGGUUGCGGGUGGCGGGCGUGUGAGGAAUACAUCGGACUCUACUUUUUCGUGUGGGUUAACGUAAGUAAACUUACGCUAAUACCGCAUACGCCCUACCGUUGAAAGCAUGGGAUCUUCUCACCUUUCGCGAUUGAACGAGCCGAUGACGAAUUAGCUAGUUGGCGGGUUAAAGGCCCACCAAGGCGACGAUACGUAGCUGGUCUGAGAGGAUGGUCGGCCACACUGGAACUGGGACACGGUCAAGACUCCUACGGGAGGCAGCAGUGGGGAAUGUUGGACAAUAGGCGCAAGCAUGAUACAGCCAUACCGCGUGGGUGAAGAAGGCCUUCGGGUUGUAAUGACCUUUUGUUGGGAAAGAAAAGCAGUAGGUUAAUACGAAGCUGUUGUGACGGUACUCAAUGAAUAAGCACCGGCUAACUUCGUG
RNAcentral lists this ribosomal RNA (492 nucleotides) under uncultured bacterium. RNAcentral describes it as "partial 16S ribosomal RNA". It matches the Rfam family "Bacterial small subunit ribosomal RNA", at positions 29 to 507 of the family's 1533-position model. The record is from RNAcentral.